CGGAUUGCCAGUUGGUUUUUUAUAUUAUCAUUUGAAUGUUGGAAUAGGUUUUAUACCUUUUAUCUGUUAGAGGCCUUUAGGAGAAUUGUAGUUGGGGUUCUGAUGGAUAGUUGGUUUGUUGAAUUUAGGAGGCAUAUUGCUGAAGAAUAUCUUUGCGUUAUUGUGGUGAAGUUGUAUCAAUUUAAUUUCCAUCUUCUCCAAUUUGAAGCCGUAUCAGUUUUUCUAUCCCUUUCAAAGGAAUUUUAAUGAACAUGAUUAUAAUAUAUUUUUCAGGUGUAAUAGUGAUGUUGGUCCAUUGUCUCCAUUUAUAAUUGUUAGCGUUUUCGCUUGAAUUUUUGGUGUCUUUUCUUCAGCAGUUUCACAUGAUUUUGACACAAGGAGAAGUCGAUUGGGUAUGGUGCUUGAUCAUAUAAUAAGGUUUGAUCAAAUAUUGGUUUCAAAAGUGAAUUAUACUUCAUAUUUCGAAUGUUGUACAUUUUUUAAUAUUUCCUUGGAUUUGUCUUAGCAUUUCUCAUUACAUACAUGUUUGGUGUUUAGAUUUCCUUAAAUGUUAAUUUAUAAGCACCUAUGUGUCAAGUUUAUUGUCUCGCUGAAUUAGCUAAUUAUGAAAGAAAAUUUGCUAGAAUCAGUCGUUGACUUUUUUAACCACCAUUUUCUACAUUUUUUGUACAAGCAUCUUUGUUUUCAGCUUAGAAGUUACAAAAUUGUGUGCGUAAAUAUUCUUGAAUUUUUACGUUUACAAUAUAGAUAUAUGCACUCAAAAAUUCAAAAACUAUGUUAUCCAUUAAAAAAAAUUUGCUGCCAAUAUCCCUCUACUCCUAAACGAUAAAGCCAACCAAACCACCAUAGUCUGCGUGAUCAUAAGAUAACAAACAACAUAUAUAUGUAUGUGAGUUUUCAGAUUAAGAUGUUGCUUUUUUAUUUGUUCUUUUAGAUAUUAUUUUGUCUAAAAGUGAAAAGCAUGGGCUUUGAACAAUUUGGGAGACUUCUCUCGACGUGCCUCCGCUGAUUUGGAUGCUCAUAUAGACAAUGAUACAAGAAUCUGAACGAUUUAGUGUGGACUCACGAAUCAAGUGACAAAUAAUUCAUUCGGAAGAUUGUAAAAAUGGUGCAGGAAAUGUAAUAUUUAUGAGACGUUUGGGAGGUGAACUUGCUGAGGGUUUUAGGCCACGAGUAAAGACAGAUGGGUAAGAGAAAAUUGGAAGAAGGAUUAACAUUGUUAGACAUAAGUCAACCACUUCUUAAUGAAAAAUGCUUCAGUGAUUGCGUCGAUACAUUUUACUCAUUCAGUGAAACCACCUAUCUUUUUCUUGGAAAAUGGAGAUGAUGGAGAAACAAUGCGGAGGAAAAUUUUAUUAUGACGUUAUUGGUGACCAGUAUCUCACUAUCACUGUGUUUUUGGGCACGAAACACUUGGAAAUGAAAAGUAAAUUGUCUAUCUAUGCCCAUACGU
This is a long non-coding RNA of Salvia miltiorrhiza (redroot sage), 1453 nucleotides long. RefSeq lists it as uncharacterized. The record is from RefSeq and is a predicted model, not a curated record. The transcript is spliced from 2 exons. Lineage: Eukaryota; Viridiplantae; Streptophyta; Magnoliopsida; Lamiales; Lamiaceae.